CUAGGACUGCGAGUUGUGCACCUUCGAAACAAGACACUGAGUCGUCAACAUGCAGGAAAACACAGACUAAGAUGGUUGAUGGCUAACUGCAGGAUGCGUUUCGCUAGAAAUGGCUCAGCUCUUAUUACAAGUUUUGUUCACUGAUUUCAACGCUUGACCCUCUUCCUGAGGUCACUGGGUGGCAUCAACCUUAACCCUGCCAGGAUCAAGGAAGGUGGGAGUGCAGGAGAAGUGUCAGUAUCAUCCCAGGCGACUUGCUGUAUAACAACCAACAACAUAACAUCAUUUAACCUUUACAACAUGUGUAUUGAUCCAUCUGGUUGUUAUCAUGCCGUGAUCAGAGCUCAGCUCGGGUGGCUCAGCUUCAUGGGCUGGUUGAGUCAUCCUCA
Molecule: long non-coding RNA, 389 nt
Organism: Syngnathoides biaculeatus (alligator pipefish)
Lineage: Eukaryota; Metazoa; Chordata; Actinopteri; Syngnathiformes; Syngnathidae
Exons: 3
Source: RefSeq, a predicted model, not a curated record